AUGUCAGAGUAUCAUUGGAGGGCAGUCUGGUGCCAGCAGCCGCGGUAAUUCCAGCUCCAAUAGCGUAUAUUAAAAUUGUUGCAGUUAAAAAGCUCGUAGUUGAAUUUCUGCUGCAUUGCUUGUGUCCCUCUGGGGUCUGUGCAUGUGGCUUUUUUCGGACGGAGUUUCUUUGUCUGAAUGUUUACUUUGAGAAAAUUAGAGUGCUCAAAGCAGGCUUUCGCCUUGAAUAGUUUAGCAUGGAAUAAUAAAGUAGGACUUUGGUUCUAUUUUGUUGGUUUUAGGUACCAAAGUAAUGGUUAAUAGGAACAGUUGGGGGCAUUCGUAUUUAACUGUCAGAGGUGAAAUUCUUAGAUUUGUUAAAGACGAACUACUGCGAAAGCAUUUGCCAAGGAUGUUUUCAUUAAUCAAGAACGAAAGUUAGGGGAUCGAAGACGAUCAGAUACCGUCGUAGUCCUAACCAUAAACUAUGCCGACUAGAGAUUGGAGGUCGUCAGUUUUUACGACUCCUUCAGCACCUUGAGAGAAACAAAGUCUUUUUGGA
Molecule: ribosomal RNA, 541 nt
Filed under: Theileria annulata
Lineage: Eukaryota; Apicomplexa; Aconoidasida; Piroplasmida; Theileriidae
Description: SSU rRNA
Rfam family: Eukaryotic small subunit ribosomal RNA
Source: RNAcentral